CCUACGGGAGGCAGCAGUGGGGAAUAUUGCACAAUGGGCGCAAGCCUGAUGCAGCCAUGCCGCGUGUGUGAAGAAGGCCUUCGGGUUGUAAAGCACUUUCAGCGGGGAGGAAGGCGGUGAGGUUAAUAACCUCAUCGAUUGACGUUACCCGCAGAAGAAGCACCGGCUAACUCCGUGCCAGCAGCCGCGGUAAUACGGAGGGUGCAAGCGUUAAUCGGAAUUACUGGGCGUAAAGCGCACGCAGGCGGUCUGUCAAGUCGGAUGUGAAAUCCCCGGGCUCAACCUGGGAACUGCAUUCGAAGCUGGCAGGCUAGAGGCUUGUAGAGGGGGGUAGAAUUCCAGGUGUAGCGGUGAAAUGCGGAGAGAUCUGGAGGAAUACCGGUGGCGAAGGCGGCCCCCUGGACAAAGACUGACGCUCAGGUGCGAAAGCGUGGGGAGCAAACAGGAUUAGAUACCCUAGUAGUC
Molecule: ribosomal RNA, 465 nt
Filed under: uncultured Klebsiella sp.
Lineage: Bacteria; Pseudomonadati; Pseudomonadota; Gammaproteobacteria; Enterobacterales; Enterobacteriaceae
Description: bacterial SSU rRNA
Rfam family: Bacterial small subunit ribosomal RNA
Source: RNAcentral